UACGGAGGGUGCAAGCGUUGUUCGGAUUUACUGGGCGUAAAGCGCGCGCAGGUGGAUGAACAAGUCGGAAGUGAAAUCUUGAGGCUCAACCUCGAGGCUGCUCCCGAAACUGUUCGUCUAGGGACUGGUAGAGGCUGGUAGAAUUCCCGGUGUAGCGGUGGAAUGCGUAGAGAUCGGGAAGAAUACCCGUGGCGAAGGCGGCCA
Molecule: ribosomal RNA, 204 nt
Filed under: uncultured bacterium
Lineage: Bacteria
Description: partial 16S ribosomal RNA
Rfam family: Bacterial small subunit ribosomal RNA
Source: RNAcentral